Molecule: ribosomal RNA, 497 nt
Filed under: uncultured bacterium
Lineage: Bacteria
Description: partial 16S ribosomal RNA
Rfam family: Bacterial small subunit ribosomal RNA
Source: RNAcentral
GACGAACGCUGGCGGCGUGCCUAAUACAUGCAAGUUGAGCGAUGAAGAUUGGUGCUUGCACCAAUUUGAAGAGCAGCGAACGGGUGAGUAACGCGUGGGGAAUCUGCCUUUGAGCGGGGGACAACAUUUGGAAACGAAUGCUAAUAUCGCAUAACAACUUUAAACAUAAGUUUUAAGUUUGAAAGAUGCAAUUGCAUCACUCAAAGAUGAUCCCGCGUUGUAUUAGCUAGUUGGUGAGGUAAAGGCUCACCAAGGCGAUGAUACAUAGCCGACCUGAGAGGGUGAUCGGCCACAUUGGGAAUGAGACACGGCCCAAACUCCUACGGGAGGCAGCAGUAGGGAAUCUUCGGCAAUGGACGAAAGUCUGAACGAGCAACGCCGCGGGAGUGAAGAAGGUUUUCGGAUCGUAAAACUCUGUUGGUAGAGAAGAACGUUGGUGAGAGUGGAAAGCUCAUCAAGUGACGGUAACUACCCAGAAAGGGACGGCUAACUACGUG